UAUGUGAUCGUCUCUCGCAUAUCAAUAAGCGGAGGAAAAGAAACUAACAAGGAUUCCCCUAGUAACGGCGAGUGAAGCGGGAAGAGCUCAAAUUUGAAAUCUUAAAGGGUUUCCCUUUACGAAUUGUAGUUUAAAGAAGUGUUUUCUGUUGAGGUUUUGGUAAAAGUUCUUUGGAAUAGGACAUCAUAGAGGGUGAGAAUCCCGUAUUUGACCUUUACUUUCAACUUUGUGAUACACUUUCAAAGAGUCGGAUUGUUUGGGAAUGCAGUCCAAAAUGGGUGGUAAAUUUCAUCUAAAGCUAAAUAUUGGCGAGAGACCGAUAGCGAACAAGUACCGUGAGGGAAAGAUGAAAAGAACUUUGAAAAGAGAGUUAAACAGUACGUGAAAUUGUCAAAAGGGAAGCGUUUGACACCAGUGUUGUUUUUCUGAAAAUCAAUUAAAGAACUGUUUAUGCUAAGCUUGUUUAGACUUUAUCAGCUAUCUGUUUAGUUUUGAGCUUUUCUUUAAUGCACUUUUCAGUUAACAAGUCAACAUCAAUUUCUUUUGCUGUAAAAAAGCUUGAGGAAGGUGGCUUGAGAUUCGUCUUAAGUGUUUAUAGCCUCUUGCCUAUGCAGUCGGAGAGAUUUGAGGUCUGCAGCGUAGAUCCUUCGGGGCUAAAUGCAUUUGUGCUAAGUUAUAGCAUUUUAUAGACAACCUUGUUGACUAUGAUUUGUCUUGUAGCUUACUCGCUUAUGUUAUUUUACCUACGCUUAGGAUGUUGAGUAGCGACAUACGCAC
Molecule: ribosomal RNA, 777 nt
Filed under: uncultured Neocallimastigales
Lineage: Eukaryota; Fungi; Neocallimastigomycota; Neocallimastigomycetes; Neocallimastigales
Description: partial large subunit ribosomal RNA
Rfam family: Eukaryotic large subunit ribosomal RNA
Source: RNAcentral